Ruditapes philippinarum (Manila clam) is the source of this 920-nucleotide long non-coding RNA. RefSeq lists it as uncharacterized. The record is from RefSeq and is a predicted model, not a curated record. The transcript has 2 exons. NCBI's taxonomy places the organism in Eukaryota, Metazoa, Mollusca, Bivalvia, Venerida, Veneridae.
UCUCUCAAAGCCACCAGGAAGUCGUGUAGUCUCUCUAGAAGUCCGAUGUUUGAAUUGUACGGUGCCCAUUUAUGAGCCGGUUAACAAUGAUUUAGUUUACAAUGUAUUACUGAAUGACUUUACCAUCAAAGGCGGAGACGGGUUUACAAUGAUUCGUGAUGGAAACCUAGACCAUAUACAAACAAAUUCUCUGGAUUCCGACGUGUUUAAAACCUAUCUCACAAAACAUAACCCCGUAUUUGCCGAUACUGAGGGUAGGAUAAGGUUUAUUAAUUCAUCGGAGACUUCUUCUGCAUCGACAUCAUCUACAUCAACGUCGCCAUUUGCAUCAACGAAAGUACCGUCUGAUAAAGGGUGCAUUAAUAGCGCCGACAGCAUAGGGCGCUUGUUUCAUAUGCAUGUCAUCAUAAUAGUAGCAUCUUUACAGCAAUUUAUGUGACCGCAAUGUUCGUUUUAUAUUUAAAGCAGCAUGCCUCCAGAUUCAUGUUGAUUUCCAUUCAAAUGUUUAAAAUGUACUUAAUAAUGUGAAUGUGAAGUGAACAAAACAGUAAUUUACACAUUUUAACGGCAUUUACAAUCCACGUAAGUUACCAGAAAGAGGUCAUAAUAUGCAAAUACUAAAACACCGGUCUUUAAUUGCACAUAACAUGUAAAUGAUUUCUUGAAUCUUGAAUAUUUCUACUUUUUUUAAACCUUUGUACAUUUUUAUCAAGUGUGAUUUUCAUGAAAUAUUUGGCUCAUCUGGAGGCAUCUUAAACAGUUAUCAGAUGCAAAAGUAUAAAGGUUGUUUUGUUGUGUUCAUAGCAUACACAUUAGUUGAUAUGUCAAUUGCUUUUUGUAAUGUCUUUGUAUAUAGAUAUAGGUUGAUUUUCAAUUAUUAUUUUGUGUUCAGAUGCCAGGCAGAUUCCGUAUUUGUAAAA